AGAGUUUGAUUCCUGGCUCAGGACGAACGCUGGCGGCGUGCUUAACACAUGCAAGUCGAGCGGUAAGGCCCUUCGGGGUACACGAGCGGCGAACGGGUGAGUAACACGUGAGUAAUCUGCCCUUCACUUCGGGAUAACCACCGGAAACGGUGGCUAAUACCGGAUAUGACCAGGCCAUGCAUGUGGUUUGGUGGAAAGUUCUGGCGGUGGAGGAUGUGCUCGCGGCCUAUCAGCUUGUUGGUGAGGUAAUGGCUCACCAAGGCUUCGACGGGUAGCCGGCCUGAGAGGGUGACCGGCCACACUGGGACUGAGACACGGCCCAGACUCCUACGGGAGGCAGCAGUGGGGAAUAUUGGACAAUGGGCGAAAGCCUGAUCCAGCAACGCCGCGUGAGGGAUGACUGCCUUCGGGUUGUAAACCUCUUUCAGUACCGACGAAGCGAGAGGACGUAGGACAGAAGAAGCACCGCC
RNAcentral lists this ribosomal RNA (470 nucleotides) under Marmoricola sp. BT14. RNAcentral's name for it is "bacterial SSU rRNA". It matches the Rfam family "Bacterial small subunit ribosomal RNA", at positions 8 to 497 of the family's 1533-position model. The record is from RNAcentral. Lineage: Bacteria; Bacillati; Actinomycetota; Actinomycetes; Propionibacteriales; Nocardioidaceae.